This is a long non-coding RNA of Rhincodon typus (whale shark), 352 nucleotides long. RefSeq lists it as uncharacterized. The transcript is spliced from 3 exons. NCBI's taxonomy places the organism in Eukaryota, Metazoa, Chordata, Chondrichthyes, Orectolobiformes, Rhincodontidae. The record is from RefSeq and is a predicted model, not a curated record.
UUGAGCUUCCCCGUGCCCCCAGAAUUUCUCUGUAAUCCCUUUUCUCCCCUUGUGUUCAAUAUUUGUUUUCAAGACCUCUGAAUGUCUAGAAGCCAGCAGAGGCAUAUUGGGAUGUAUGCUCAAUCUCCUAAAAUGGAUAUCAAGUUUACAUCCUCCAUUAUCCCACCUACUUCUGGGUUCCACAGGCUGGUUUGGAUGCUGGCACAAAACUACAUGGAGCUGGUAGGCAGAGAUUUUCUUUUUCUUGCCCUGCCGCCCAACCCCAACCAUGCUCUACCUGGAGAGUGGAGUUGAGGAGCAGAGUGAGGGGCCAUGUCUCGCGGCAGAGCAGAGCACGGGCCGUGUCCCGUGG